UCCGAGGUCACCUGGAAGAAUGGUUGGAAAACGUCGGCAGGCGCCGGCCAAUCCUACAGAGCAUGUGACAAAGCCCCAUACGCUCGAGGAUCGGACGCGGUGCCGCCGCUGCCUUUCGGGCCCGUCCCCCCGGAGAGGGGGACGGCGACCCAACACACAAGCCGGGCUUGAGGGCAGCAAUGACGCUCGGACAGGCAUGCCCCCCGGAAUACCAGGGGGCGCAAUGUGCGUUCAAAGACUCGAUGAUUCACUGAAUUCUGCAAUUCACAUUAGUUAUCGCAUUUCGCUGCGUUCUUCAUCGAUGCCGGAACCAAGAGAUCCAUUGUUGAAAGUUUUAACUGAUUGCAUUCAAUCAACUCAGACUGCACGCUUUCAGACAGUGUUCGUGUUGGGGUCUCCGGCGGGCACGGGCCCGGGGGGCAGAGGCGCCCCCCCGGCGGCCGACAAGCGGCGGGCCCGCCGAAGCAACAGGGUACAAUAGACACGGAUGGGAGGUUGGGCCCAAAGGACCCGCACUCGGUAAUGAUCCUUCCGCAGGUUCAC
This 543-nucleotide unclassified non-coding RNA is filed under the name Aspergillus niger. Its description in RNAcentral is "sequence contains 18S rRNA gene, ITS1, 5.8S rRNA gene, ITS2, 28S rRNA gene". The record is from RNAcentral. Lineage: Eukaryota; Fungi; Ascomycota; Eurotiomycetes; Eurotiales; Aspergillaceae.